CAAACUAACGUGUGUCCAAAUUUGUUCUGAUGAUUUUGAUAAGAGCAAUAUUAUGAUCGCCGAAUUAACUGGAUCGAAGGCAAAUAAGACCAAAUUCUGAGCCUCAAAUAGAUAGUACCAUUUUUGCUGGGGCUUUAUCAUACAGGUUUUCUUCUAGUUUGUACCGCCACCCAAAAAAUGUUUUAGAUAAAUGAACCUCCAGACCAGUUGAGGGACUAGAGAAGGUCCCUACCUAGUCCCGCGAUUGGCAGUUUGGCUGGCCCCUCAAAUUUGAUUUUGCCUAAAAUCAUACAAGAUAAACUAGCCCUUCUCAAGAAGCCCUUCCUCAAAACAACAGAAACGGCAUUGAAAAAGAAGUUGGAAUUAACCACAUAGUAAGACAAUCCUCAUCUUCUGAUCUCUCAAUAGUUGGAUAUUUAUUAUCUCAAGAAAGUCGUCAAAGUAUCAGAAAAAGAAAGAAGUAUGUUAAUGAGGCAUUAUAAUGAUAUUAUGUAGAAAUUUAAGUCUUGUAAAAAUUUGGAAA
This 523-nucleotide long non-coding RNA is filed under the name Sitophilus oryzae (rice weevil). RNAcentral's name for it is "uncharacterized LOC115874763, transcript variant X1". Lineage: Eukaryota; Metazoa; Arthropoda; Insecta; Coleoptera; Curculionidae. The record is from RNAcentral.